GGGGGCGACUGGUUUCGACAUACGUGUUUUAAGAGUGGAAGCAGGUCGUGGUCUCCUCGCCACGUAAAACAGGGGUACCGUCAAAAAUUAAUUGACAACCGUGAGUACGCACUCGCCGCUUAGUUAAGCGACGACGUCAAUUGUGGGUACAUCCCCGCCCCACAUGCGACGCCAUUUAGGGGAAUGCUCUUGUGUGAGCCGUAGACGUAACACAAGUUAAGAUUAGCCUACUAGCUUCCUUUUCCUUUGUUUGUUGAGGAGAAGGACGCGAAUUCUCCAACAGACUGAGCCUGGAGAUGCCGCUUAAGAAGCACAUAUGGACCGGAGUUCGAUUCUCCGCGCCUCCACCA
Molecule: transfer-messenger RNA, 350 nt
Filed under: Coriobacteriales bacterium
Lineage: Bacteria; Bacillati; Actinomycetota; Coriobacteriia; Coriobacteriales
Rfam family: transfer-messenger RNA
About the family: Bacterial tmRNA, also known as 10Sa RNA or SsrA, is named for its dual tRNA and mRNA-like properties. Its role is to liberate the mRNA from a stalled ribosome. To accomplish this part of the tmRNA is used as a reading frame that ends in a translation stop signal.
Source: RNAcentral